This 1983-nucleotide ribosomal RNA is filed under the name Triticum aestivum (bread wheat). Its description in RNAcentral is "partial small subunit ribosomal RNA". The record is from RNAcentral. Lineage: Eukaryota; Viridiplantae; Streptophyta; Magnoliopsida; Poales; Poaceae.
GGACAGGGUUCGCUGUCUGAGCCGCUUCCGGCUCAUUCUAGAGGCCUCUCGCCGCCGUCGAAGACAAAUACGCAGGAGAGGUCACCGGGGCCGCUUUAGCGUGGUGCCGCGCGGGUUCUGUCGCUUUUGCUUCACCGUUGGCCUAGCUGCGGAUGGACACUGAGGGAAUGGAAUUCCUACUGGAUGUGGUCGACAGGUUCCCAGUGCGGGAGGAGUAUGCAGAUAAUGUUGACCAUCCGGAUCCAGUCUUGCUCAUGUACCUUCUGGAUAAGGGGGCUGCGAGUCCGGAGAUUGGUCAGGCAGACGUUGAUUCUGGGGUAGCUGAGAUGGUGUGCGGAGGUGUGCUAACUGACGCUGAAGUAGGUGCCCCCCGUAGACGUGAUGAAUCUCCGACGAGGUCUGCCCAAUCAUCGGGCAGAGUCAAUCCACAGGCCCCGGCUGGACUAAGAGGGGAAACCAGACGCUGAAAACAGCAGGUCCUGCAGGUGCAAGUGCCCAGCUCUGAUUAGGCUGCUAUGUGCAUCAGACAACAGUUGGUACAUAACAGAGCACCGGGCGAGCCACAAUCAUUCGAUGUCGCUUACAAUGGGAGAGAAAGUGCAUUGGCCGUCUCAUAAACACAUAGAUGUGUAUACCAAGGAUUUGAUAAGAUAGUUGAGGGAGAACAACAUCAACCUUGGCAAGGUAUACAACAUAAUUGGAAUCUUCUUUGGUUCAGUUGAGAAGGUGCCCUUCACGAAAAGGACACUCAGGAACAUUUGUGGGAAGAUUAGUCGUGAACAGGCUGAAGAUGAAUUACGGAAGACACUGCAGGUGUUUGCCGACAUCUGGUCGAGUGACCCUGGUUUCUCCUAUGUGGUGCUCGCCGAGAAAGACAGCAAGGUGAAGAAUCUCAUGUGGGCUAAUGGGAGCAGACGGAUGCAGUACAGGUUCUUUGGCGACGUGGUCACAUUCGACACCACAUACAGGACAAAUUUGUACGACAUGCCAUUAUGUUUAUUUGUCGGAGUUAACAAUCACUACCAGAGUAUCAUCCUAGCUGGCGUGCUGAUGUGUGACGAGCAAGAAGAGAGCUUUGAAUGGGUGUUUUCAGAAUUCAUUCGCAUGAUGGGCGGACCUGCACCUAAAACAAUACUAACAGACCAAUGCAGGGCUAUGGAGGUUGCAAUCAAGAAAAUUCAUCCGAACACUGUCCACCGUUUGUGCAAGUGGCAUGUUCUGAAAAAGGCGAAAGAAACACUGGGGUGGCUUUACACAAAAAAAUGUGAUUUUCAAGCUGAAUUUCACAAAGUUGUUAACCACAUGCUAACUGAGGAAGAAUUUGAAUCAGCCUGGGAUGCGCUGCUUGAUAAAUACAAUUUGAGGGGGCAUAACUAUAUGACCCAAAUAUAUGAGACAAGACAUAAAUGGGCGAAACCAUAUUUCAGAGGUGUGUUUUGUGCGAAAAUGACGAGUACACAGAGGAGUGAGAGUGCAAACCACAUGCUGAAGACGGACAUGCCCCCUGCAAGCCCAAUGCAUGUUUUCGUCUGACAAUACAUGAGACUUCAAUUUGACCGGAAGCGCGAUGAAAGCUAUGAGGAAAAGAGGACAAUGAUUGGCGGCGUCGUGUGGCGGACUAACCUUGCGAUAGAGCGCCAUGGCAGCAAAAUAUAUACUAGGAAUAUGUUUGAGAAAUUUGGCCGCCUACUGGUAGAAGGAACCGCAGAGUUUUGUUGUCCUUAUUUGAAACGACGCAGAGUUGUGUCGUUGAGCACAUGUAAGGUUAUAUGCUUUUCUGAACAAUUUGUUAGCUAAACUGAAUUUUACUCCUGGCUGUAUGAUAUGAUAAGAAAUUGUAACCAUUUGUGUUCUUGAAAUGUUUAUGGUUGUCUGCACAAUUUGAUAACUGAAGAAAAUUUCACAGCAUGUCUAUCCUUGGCCAUGUAUAAUUUUUAUGGAUGUCUGAACAAUUUGAAUGCUAAAAUUAAAGUUACAGUGGUU